RNAcentral lists this ribosomal RNA (506 nucleotides) under uncultured bacterium. RNAcentral describes it as "partial 16S ribosomal RNA". It matches the Rfam family "Bacterial small subunit ribosomal RNA", at positions 29 to 523 of the family's 1533-position model. The record is from RNAcentral.
AGUGAACGCUGGCGGCAGGCCUAACACAUGCAAGUCGAACGGCAGCACAGAGGAGCUUGCUCCUUGGUUGGCGAGUGGCGGACGGGUGAGGAAUACAUCGGAAUCUGCACUGUCGUGGGGGAUAACGUAGGGAAACUUACGCUAAUACCGCAUACGACCUUCGGUAGAAAGAGGGGGAUCACAAGAACUCUCGCGAUUGGAUGAGCCGAUGUCGGAUUAGCUAGUUGGCGGGGUAAAGGCUCACCAAGGCGACGAUCCGUAGCUGGUCUGAGAGGAUGAUCAGCCACACUGGAACUGAGACACGAUCCAGACUCCUACGGGAGGCAGCAGUGGGGAAUAUUGGACAAUGGGCGCAAACCGGAUCCAGCCAUGCCGCGUGAGUGAAGAAGGCCUUCGGGUUGUAAAGCUCUUUUGUCCGGAAAGAAAAGCUUCCGAUUAAUACUCGGGAGUCAUGACGGUACCGGAAGAAUAAGCACCGGCUAACUUCGUGCCAGCCGCCGCCGUAA